Long non-coding RNA from Rhododendron vialii, 429 nucleotides. RefSeq lists it as uncharacterized. The transcript is spliced from 3 exons. The record is from RefSeq and is a predicted model, not a curated record. Lineage: Eukaryota; Viridiplantae; Streptophyta; Magnoliopsida; Ericales; Ericaceae.
AUCUACCAUUGUUGGUACUUAUUUGCAAACAUCUUGGUCAUUGUCGUGAUUAUGUAUCGGCUUUGCAAUGAACUAGGAAGAAUUGUUUGAUCGGUUCUUGCUCAAGGUACUGUCGACAAGUUUUGGGCAAUAAAUAGAAGAAACUAUUGAAAAUCUGGUCCGAGAAGAUAGCUCUAGACAAGUAGCAAGGUCGCUACAGCUUUAGGAAAAAUCAUGAGUUCGAUCUGGGCUUCAGCUGAUGCUUCAGCCUUCAGGUACGGGCAGACCAGGAAUACAGAUCAAGUUCAAAAAAUGCAAUGUCAAUUGGAGGGGUCGUGACGGUUUUUAACUCUCCAUAUGUCUGCCAACAGAAUGGUCCACUCAAUUUGUUGCUUUCUGAUUGAAGUGCUUUGAGCUCUAUAGUGUUUAAGGUUACGCCUGUGCAUGGCA